RNAcentral lists this long non-coding RNA (220 nucleotides) under Capsicum annuum. RNAcentral's name for it is "long non-coding RNA (CANN_LNC002155)". Lineage: Eukaryota; Viridiplantae; Streptophyta; Magnoliopsida; Solanales; Solanaceae. The record is from RNAcentral.
CGUGUUGUAAUUUGUGAUUUAGAUUUAGGCUUGAUCACGGUGAAAGGAUUUAAGCUACUUUAGAUAUUAGUACAAAGAUUUAUCGAUGCCUAUAUGAGACUUUUAAGCUGAACUGAAUCUGUAUGGUUAUUAAUUGGGAUAGUAAGGUUAAGGAAGUAUUCGAGGAGUGUGCUAAGCUUGAAAGUAAGAAGUGGCAUUAGGCCUGGUAAUUCUAUCCUAG